GACGAACGCUGGCGGCGUGCCUAAUACAUGCAAGUCGAGCGGAUUUAUCCUUCGGGAUAAGUUAGCGGCGGACGGGUGAGUAACACGUAGGUAACCUGCCUAUAAGAUCGGGAUAACCAUCGGAAACGAUAGCUAAGACCGGAUAAUUGGUUUUCUCGCAUGAGAGAAUUAUGAAACACGGAGCAAUCUGUGGCUUAUAGAUGGGCCUGCGGCGCAUUAGCUAGUUGGUGAGGUAACGGCUCACCAAGGCGACGAUGCGUAGCCGACCUGAGAGGGUGAACGGCCACACUGGGACUGAGACACGGCCCAGACUCCUACGGGAGCAGCAGUAGGGAAUCUUCCGCAAUGGACGCAAGUCUGACGGAGCAACGCCGCGUGAGUGAUGAAGGUUUUCGAUCGUAAAGCUCUGUUGCCCUAGACGAACAGCAAGGAGAGUAACUGCUCUUUGUGUGACGGU
RNAcentral lists this ribosomal RNA (457 nucleotides) under uncultured bacterium. Its description in RNAcentral is "bacterial SSU rRNA". It matches the Rfam family "Bacterial small subunit ribosomal RNA", at positions 28 to 476 of the family's 1533-position model. The record is from RNAcentral.